UUUAUGUAGUAUUUUUACGCAAUAUAAACAGUAUGAAAUUUUGUUACAAUCAAUAAUGUGUUUCCAUCCUUAUUGUUUGGAUAAAAGUUUACAAGAAAAUUUGAUGGCGACAUCAAUUUGUGAAAGCUCAUAAGAUCAAACAGUGGAUGAAAAUUAUGUUCCAGAAGCACAAGUAUUAGAUGAGGAGCUGAUAAAUUUAGUUCAACAACGACCGGCUUUGUAUGAGCAUCGAAUACCAACUCAAAAAAGAAUUAAACUAAAGAAAAAAGAUCUAUGACAGGAGCAUAUUUAUCUGCUUAUGUAGAAAAAAGGUGGCAAUAUUGAAGAAAAUAUUGCUAUAUAAAAGCUGGAAGAAAUUUUAAGAAAAUACAAAGUACUGAAAAAAGAAAUAGUGCCGCCGAUACGUCCAUAAACGAAAGGAAUAAACCAUCCUUCUGCUUUUACGAUGCAAUGAGUUUUUAAAUGAUACAUUACAAUAUAAAGAAACAUGCACUUUAAGGAUACCAAAUAGAAAAGAAACAGAUCAAGUAGCGAAUAACUAUUUCUUCACUUUCCCCUUCAAAUUCAUUUAUUAAUGAUAAUUACUCACAAUCAGAUUUAGAAAAUAGGCCACCUUUAAUGCCAUCACCUGUCUCUGAAUUUUCUGUAUCGUCUUCAUCUUCAUGAAAAAGACGAUGUUUAAAUAAUAUG
Molecule: long non-coding RNA, 690 nt
Organism: Acromyrmex echinatior (Panamanian leafcutter ant)
Lineage: Eukaryota; Metazoa; Arthropoda; Insecta; Hymenoptera; Formicidae
Source: RefSeq, a predicted model, not a curated record